Molecule: unclassified non-coding RNA, 361 nt
Filed under: uncultured bacterium
Lineage: Bacteria
Description: contains 16S-23S intergenic spacer region
Source: RNAcentral
UCUCCCGUUAGGGAGCAGUCUCGCCAGACACUUGUAACUGGCAAUGAGGGUUGCGUUCGUUACCCCACUUAAGGGAACAAUUCAAACCACGAACUGACGACGGCCAUGCAUCACCUGUUCUAUUGCCCGAAGGCCCCGUAUGUUUCCAUAUGAGUUCAAUAGAAUUUCUAACCCUGGUGAGGUUCUUCGUUUGCCAUCGAAUUGAGCCACAUAAUCCACUGCUUGUGCAAGCCCCCGUCUAUUCCUUUGAGUUUUAAUCUUGCGAUCGUACUACCCAGGCGCUUCUCUUAACGCGUUAGCUUCGCCUCCCAGAGGGUCGAUACUCCGAAAAGCCAGAGAAGAACGUUUAGGGCGUGGACUA